This 247-nucleotide long non-coding RNA is filed under the name Lathyrus oleraceus (garden pea). Its description in RNAcentral is "Pisum sativum (pea) long non-coding RNA (PSAT_LNC004599)". The record is from RNAcentral. Lineage: Eukaryota; Viridiplantae; Streptophyta; Magnoliopsida; Fabales; Fabaceae.
AAAAACGAAAAACAAGUGGCUUUUGGUUUAGAGUCGGUGUUACAUACUGUGUUUGUUUCUUUUUAUUUGCUCGGUUUUCUUUUCUUCUUAUUUUUUUCUUCAUCGAAUGCCCUUUUUCGUGCUUCUUUUUGAAUCUUCGAGUUAUAAUUUUUUUCUCUUUUUAUUUUUUUCUUUCUUUCUCUCGAUUCAUCAUUUUUUCUUUUUGGUCUCGCACUUUCUUGGGCUUUGGGAGCUUUUGGGGUUUUUA